Molecule: ribosomal RNA, 468 nt
Filed under: uncultured bacterium
Lineage: Bacteria
Description: partial 16S ribosomal RNA
Rfam family: Bacterial small subunit ribosomal RNA
Source: RNAcentral
GACGAACGCUGGCGGCGUGCUUAACACAUGCAAGUCGAACGGAAAGGCCCUGCUUUUGUGGGGUGCUCGAGUGGCGAACGGGUGAGUAACACGUGAGUAACCUGCCCUUGACUUUGGGAUAACUUCAGGAAACUGGGGCUAAUACCGGAUAGGAGCUCCUGCUGCAUGGUGGGGGUUGGAAAGAUUCGGCGGUUGGGGAUGGACUCGCGGCUUAUCAGCUUGUUGGUGGGGUAGUGGCUUACCAAGGGUUUGACGGGUAGCCGGCCUGGGAGGGUGACCGGCCUCAUUGGGACUGCGGUACGCCCCAGACUCCUACGGGCGGCAGCAGUGGGGAAUAUUGCACAGUGGGCGGAAGCCUGAUGCAGCAACGCCGCGUGCGGGAUGACGGCCUUCGGGUUGUAAACCGCUUUCGCCUGUGACGAAGCGUGAGUGACGGUAAUGGAUAAAGAAGCACCGGCUAACUACGUG